AGUUGAUUCCCUAUUGAGUUCAAUACAUUUAGUUGAUUCCCUACUGAGUUCAAUACAUUUAUUCGAUUCCCUACUGAGUUCAAUACAUUUAGUUGACUCCCUAUUGAGUUCAAUACAUUUAGUUGACUCCCUAUUGAGUUCAAUACAUUUAGUUGACUCCCUAUUGAGUUCAAUACAUUUAGUUCGAUUCCCUAUUGAGUUCAAUACAUUUAGUUGACUCCCUAUUGAGUUCAAUACAUUUAGUUGAUUCCCUAUUGAGUUCAAUACAUUUAGUUGAUUCCCUACUGAGUUCAAUACAUUUAGUUGAUUCCCUACUGAGUUCAAUACAUUUAGUUGAUUCCCUACUGAGUUCAAUACAUUUAGUUGACUCCCUAUUGAGUUCAAUACAUUUAGUUCGAUUCCCUAUUGAGUUCAAUACAUUUAGUUCGAUUCCCUAUUGAGUUCAAUACAUUUAGUUCGAUUCCCUACUGAGUUCAAUACAUUUAGUUGAUUCCCUAUUGAGUUCAAUACAUUUAGUUCGAUUCCCUACUGAGUUCAAUACAUUUAGUUGAUUCCCUACUGAGUUCAAUACAUUUAGUUGAUUCCCUACUGAGUUCAAUACAUUUAGUUGAUUCCCUACUGAGUUCAAUACAUUUAGUUGAUUCCCUAUUGAGUUCAAUACAUUUAGUUGAUUCCCUACUGAGUUCAAUACAUUUAGUUGAUUCCCUAUUGAGUUCAAUACAUUUAGUUGACUCCCUAUUGAGUUCAAUACAUUUAGUUCGAUUCCCUAUUGAGUUCAAUACAUUUAGUUCGAUUCCCUACUGAGUUCAAUACAUUUAGUUGACUCCCUAUUGAGUUCAAUACAUUUAGUUCGAUUCCCUAUUGAGUUCAAUACAUUUAGUUCGAUUCCCUACUGAGUUCAAUACAUUUAGUUGACUCCCUAUUGAGUUCAAUACAUUUAGUUGAUUCCCUACUGAGUUCAAUACAUUUAGUUCGAUUCCCUAUUGAGUUCAAUACAUUUAGUUCGAUUCCCUACUGAGUUCAAUACAUUUAGUUGACUCCCUAUUGAGUUCAAUACAUUUAGUUGAUUCCCUACUGAGUUCAAUACAUUUAGUUGAUUCCCUAUUGAGUUCAAUACAUUUAGUUCGAUUCCCUAUUGAGUUCAAUACAUUUAGUUGACUCCCUAUUGAGUUCAAUACAUUUAUUUGAU
This 1189-nucleotide long non-coding RNA is filed under the name Salmo salar (Atlantic salmon). Its description in RNAcentral is "lncRNA (ENSSSAG00000109916.1)". The record is from RNAcentral. Lineage: Eukaryota; Metazoa; Chordata; Actinopteri; Salmoniformes; Salmonidae.